Long non-coding RNA from Carassius gibelio (silver crucian carp), 1088 nucleotides. RefSeq lists it as uncharacterized. The transcript has 3 exons. Lineage: Eukaryota; Metazoa; Chordata; Actinopteri; Cypriniformes; Cyprinidae. The record is from RefSeq and is a predicted model, not a curated record.
GCGAAACGGGAAUGACGGAGAACAUGGAAAUGACGUAGGCUGUCUAUCCACUGGUGUCCAGCCAGUGCUUUUGUCUUCUCCAGAUGUGAACUGAUGGACUGGAUUACUUGUGGAUUAUUGGGAUGUGUUUAUCAGCUGUUUGGACUCUCAUUCUGACGGCACCCAUUCACUACAGAGUAUCCAUUGAUGAGACCCUGAUGCAAUGCUACAUUUCUACAAACCUGAUGAAGAAUCAAAUUGAGAGUGAGGAUAUUUUCAGCCAAUGUUUAUUUUUGGACAUUCCAAAAGUGCAUUUCUGGUUUCCUUGGAAGCAGACGUCUAAACAGAGGAGAUUUAGGAUAGAGACAGAGAAACGCUUUCAGUAUAUGAGCACGAAGAGUUGUGACAUUAGUACAGAUACAUUAACUCCAGCACACAUUCACAUGAACAUGUGAUUAGACCGUAGAACAGUGUCAGUGAGGGGAAACACUCACACACUCAGAAAUGAAGAAAGAAUUGAGUUUUUAACCAGGGGUGUGAUCUGAAAUGAUCCCGUGAUUUUCAUUGCGAUUCAAUUCUAGAAAUGAAAGCGAGAGGAAACGUUUUCUCUUAAGUUUCUCAUUAAAUAAUCCAAUCCUUUAAUAGAAAGAUGCAAAACACCAUCAGAUUGGUGAUUAUGGUUAUGAAUAUCUGGAUUGUUCAUUAUGAUACUGUAGAGAAAACAGUCAGUGAACUGAUUCACUUCAGAGAACAUAUGAAUCAUUUGUGCACGCUGAUUAAUUCAGGCACUCAGUAUGACUCACAUUCAGGAUCAUAUAUUUAAAUACAUAUUUUAUAUUUUUGACAUGAAAUGUGAAACACACGCAUGUGGUCUUGAUCGGAGGUGUGAGUGAGAGCUGUAUGUGAACUAAUGUGUGACACACAGUCAGCAGCGGUUUUGAGCGUCCAGUGAUUCAUGAUUGUUGUGGACAGUCUGAACUCGACUGCUUUAUUUAGGAAGUAAAACCACAGCUCGGAGGAUUGUGCUGAUCUGACUGAACACUAACCGUCCCGUCAUCAGGAUUCAGAUUGCUUUGUGGUAAUUACAUAAACACAUAAACAAUGCAAAA